RNAcentral lists this ribosomal RNA (424 nucleotides) under uncultured bacterium. RNAcentral describes it as "partial 16S ribosomal RNA". It matches the Rfam family "Bacterial small subunit ribosomal RNA", at positions 360 to 776 of the family's 1533-position model. The record is from RNAcentral.
AAUUUUUUACUAUGGGGGGAACCCUGAUACAGCCAUGCCGCGUGUGUGAAGAAGGNCUNNGGAUUNUNAAGCACUUUAAGUUGNNNNNAAGAGUUGUAGGCUAGUACCUUGCACUUUUGACGUUACCAACAGAAUAAGCACCGGCUAACUUCGUGCCAGCAGCCGCGGUAAUGAGAAGGGUGCAAGCGUUAAUCGGAAUUACUGGGCGUAAAGCGCGAGUAAGUGGUUCGUUAAGUUGGAAGGGAAAGCCCCGGGCUUAACCUGGGAAUUGCUUUCAAAACUGACGAGCUAGAGUACGGUAGAGGGUAGUGGAAUUUCCUGUGUAGCGGUGAAAUGCGUAGAUAUAGGAAGGAACAUCAGUGGCGAAGGCGACUACCUGGACUGAUACUGACACUGAGGUGCGAAAGCGUGGGGAGCAAACAGG